UUACUAUGUUUUUAUAUAUGCUGGAAGCCGGCCAGAGUGGCUGGGGAAACCCAGUCAGAUGGGCAGGGUACAAAUAAUAAUAAUAAUAAUAAUAAUAAUAAUAAUAAUAAUAAUUCAUUAUUUAUACCCUGCCCAUCUGGCUGAGUUUCCCCAGCCACUCUGGUGGCUCCCAAUCAAGUGUUAAGAACAGUA
This is a non-coding RNA of Podarcis lilfordi (Lilford's wall lizard), 192 nucleotides long. NCBI's taxonomy places the organism in Eukaryota, Metazoa, Chordata, Lepidosauria, Squamata, Lacertidae. The record is from the annotation of a GenBank genome assembly.